GACAUACACGGAUUAGCUAUAAGAAACUAUAGUGACACCUUCGGGUGGAACGUGAACAGGUGCUGCAUGGCUGUCGUCAGCUCGUGCUGUGAAGUGUCGGGUUAAGUCCCUUAACGAGCGCAACCCUUAUCGUUAGUUGCUAACAGGUAAUGCUGAGGACUCUAGCGAGACUGCCGGUGUUAAACCGGAGGAAGGUGGGGAUGACGUCAAGUCCGCAUGGCCUUUAUGCCUAGGGCUGCACACGUGCUACAAUGGCAAGUACAGAACGAAGCAAUACCGCAAGGUGGAGCAAAUCGCUAAAGCUUGCCCCAGUUCGGAUUGCAGGCUGCAACUCGCCUGCAUGAAGUUGGAAUCGCUAGUAAUCGCGGAUCAGCACGCCGCGGUGAAUACGUUCCUGAGCCUUGUACACACCGCCCGUCAAGUCAUGGAAGCUGGUAGUGCGUUAAGUCGCCGAGAUUCAUCGGUGCCCACCGCAAGACUGGUGACUGGGACUAAGUCGUAACAAGGUAGCCGUAGGGGAACCUGCGGCUGGAUCACCUCCUUU
Molecule: ribosomal RNA, 544 nt
Filed under: Phycisphaerales bacterium
Lineage: Bacteria; Pseudomonadati; Planctomycetota; Phycisphaerae; Phycisphaerales
Description: bacterial SSU rRNA
Rfam family: Bacterial small subunit ribosomal RNA
Source: RNAcentral